UAAUAUAAAGACAUCAUCAAGUAUUCAAAUACUCAGCAAAUAAUUCAGAAGUAGCUGUUUUAAUGUAUUCACAAGUAAGUUCAGACCUAUUCCAAAGAAUACUGCAUUUUUUACAUUACACCGCUUUUCUCAUCUGAAAAGAAUUUACUCUCAUCUGGUAAGAAUAUUUAAGGCUUUUGAAUAGUGGCGGUACUCUCAACUGAUAAAGAUUAUUUAAGAAGGAUAGCAGAUGAGUGGAACUUCAUAUUGACCCAUUGUCUCGGCAUUUCAGAGCCCAAAGUUAUGCUCUCUCCACUACAGCCUCACAUUUCAAUGCAUGGAGACCAUGAAACAACAAACAAAUCUGCAAGUUUCAGGGGAGAAAUAUGGAACACUGUGUUAGGUUUUGAGUAAUUUAGUAUGACUAACGAAUUGUGGGUAUAUAUUUGAGGCUUUACUAGUGGUAUAGUGAGGCCUAAAAACAUGUUAUUCGCACAACAAAAAUUAUAAAAAGAUGUAUGAAAUGCUUAAGAUAAGUAAAUAUGCUGCCCAUAAUGCACUUAAUCCUAGAAAGAGAGAUUGAUUCUGCUGUGUAGAGUUCGUUCCAUGCAAUCAGAGCAUCAAUCAACAGCACAAGCAGUUCCUAUUCAGGCAAGUACAGAUGUCAACCACUUCUAAUUUAGUCAAAUAAAGUACAUUGACAACAAUAAUAUAGAUCACAAGAUGAGAAUCAUAUGAAGCACUUGUAAUUCCACUUAUCAACUGGUCAUUCAUAACUACCAGCAACAAUCUGUAGCGAAAUACGAGGAUGCCUACAGUUGUUACACAACUAAAAAGUGGUCAACUUCCUGGGAAAAAUACAAGGGAGGAGGGAUUUGGGCUCCUUUGCUUAGCUAGGAUGUAAGGGUUACAGCACAACUUUUAAAGUUUCAAUCCCAGCGAACAUGAUACCAUACAGAUAAAUUGAAAAUCACAUGAUUUGUCUCCUAGAUCAUUCAUUAAUCUGUUUGUUCCAUGUACACAACAUUAUUUGGCCAUACAUAUCAUGACCAAGUACUUUUUAUGCUCAUUUGCAUUUUGCAGUUGUAAUGAGCCUCCCAUAGAGUUUAUGUAGGCAUGUGCAGCAAACUUGAUGCUUCACAAAGGUUAUCGUUAAAAAGAAGACACCAAAGCCUUGUGCUGGUUAUAAGUUGACAAUAGAGGCAGUAACAAAAACAUUGGGAAUAUCUGUUUUUUUCUCUCCUAUGUAUCACCAUGGUUUUUCUUCAUGAUUAGGUAAGAACUUCAGAAAAUAAAUUUAAACUCGGAGAAAAUACAAAAUUUGUAUGAUGAUUAGACCAUAAUAUCAAAAAAAGUAGGAUCUGGGGUCCUGGCUUAGCUAGGAUGCAAGGGUUACAGAACAACUUUCAAGGUUUCAAUCCCAGCUCACAUGAUACCAUACAGAUAAAUUGAAUUACAUGCUGUGUCUCCUAGAACAUUCAUUAAUCUGUGCCAGUUCCAUUAAGACUAUUUUACCAAACAUACCAUGCCCAUGUAUUUUUUAUGCUCAUUUGCAUUUUGCAGUUGUAAUGAGCCUACCAUAUAGAGUUUAUGUUCUGAAGUCUGAAGUCUGAACAAGAGGCAUUUGCAGUUAACUUGAUGCUUCACAAAAGUUAAUCAUUAAGAAAAAGACAGCAAAGCCGAGUGCUGGUCAUAAGUUGACAAUUGAGGCAGUAAGAAAACAGUGGGAAUAUCUAUUUUUCUUCAUCCCAUGUAUCACCAUGACUUAUUAAAUAUAUUAUGUGUUUGUCAUGAUUAGCAAGAACUUCAGAAAAUAAAAUUUAAGUAGGAUAAAAGACAAAAUAUGUACAAUGAUCAGAACAGAUGAAAAUAUCAAAAAUUGUAUAUAGACUGUCAUGGUAAUUAUGAUGCAAGAAUAUUAUGAAAUACAAAGCAAUAUAUCUACAAUUGAGUAUACUAAUAUCAUGAAAAAACACCAUCCCAUGCAUAGAAACUGUUGAUGCAAUAGAAAUCACUAAUAUUGGCAACAGGUCCUCAAGUUCAAAAUGGGUUUAAUUACUAUGACAUUGACUUCCCAUGUGAUCUGAGCUCCGAGACACAAUCUCAAAUCUCACAGAUGAAAAGACCAAUUUCAGUACCAAUGGUGUCAACUUGGUCCCAAAUUACUCACAUCCAAAAACUACAUAGAAUAAAAUUCCCAAAAUAAGCCCCCUCUCACACCUGGGAUUCCAUUUAAGUAAUACCGCAAGGAUCAACUUGAUUUAACAACCCGAUAUUGAGCCAACAAAUUCUCCACCCAACCUUUUUCCCAUCAUAGUCAAGAGUGGGGACAUCCUUGUCAAGAGUGGGGACAAAGUUUAUAGUCAUCCUUCCUCACCCUUUAGGCCAUAUUUUAUAUACUUACCCAGUAUUUCCAGAUAAGCAACUCAAACUCCACCCUUUUAAUCUGAAGGAUCUAGCUUGCUCAUGCUAUAUUGUUCCUCCCGUUAAGGAUGCAACCGAACCCCAAAGUUUGGUCCUCCAGUGUCACUAAACAAACGAUGUUCAAAGGCAUAGUGAAAGCCUCUACAGAAAUUAUAUGCCAGAAAGAUCCUACCUAAAAUUUAUUCAUAAAUCCACCUAGAAAUGAAAUACUGCCAAAAUUCAAAGAAGGAUUGGAGACAGCAACUACUUUGAUAAGCCCAAAGCAAUAUAUUUAGGGCUCAAAAUCCAAAAGCCCAUUAACCUCUACGAAGGAACAAUACUGGACUAAAACAGACAUGCAAUGGAGGAAUUUUUUGAUAUCUUUUAGCAAAAGCCUCACUCUAUUGGUCAUAACAUAGCUCAAACCAGCUUAGAGCCAACAAUUCCCAAUUUCUAUUCACUCCACCACCUCUAAAUCAAUAACCCAUAUAGCAUUCAGCUAAUGAAGCUAGUGACUGGUAGGGUAACAGGGACCCAUGUUCUAGAAAUCCCACGCCACAUCGUCUACAUCCAUGUUAAAAGGUCAUUACUCUCCCUCUCUCUCUCUCNNNNNNNNUCUCUCUCUCUCUCUACUACUACUACUACUACUACUACUACUACUACUACUACUACUACUACUACUNNNNNNNNNNNNNNNNNNNNGGGUUAACGGUAACGGUAACCGGAACCGUACGUUCGUUACGUAAUAACCUACCGACCACCACUACUCUACUACUACACUGUAAGUACGUACUACUACUCCUCCUCUCUCUCUCUCUCUCUCUCUCUCUCUCUCUCUCGACUACACUGUAAUGGUAAACCUAGAAUUUUCUCUCUCUCGACUGCACCACUCUAAUGGUAAACCUAGAAUUUUUUACUCCAAAAGUUCUGGCCACAAAAUACCCCCACAAUCUCAAAAUUACAAUAGCAAUAACUUGUCUCAAAUUCAAGAAAUAUUUGUUAUUUUAAGUUGCUUCCAAAAUUCAAAAAUGAAUCAAAAAGUUAAAAGGAAUCUUUUUAAAUUUGAUUUUGGAGGGAUUUUGAAAUAACAAAAAUAUCUCUUUAAAGAUACAUGAACACGUUAGAGUCGACAGUCAUUUUUAAAUAUAGAAGGGCAUUUUAUGGUAUAAAAUUUAUAAGUAAGAAAUUCUAAGUUCACCAUUUGAGUGUAGCCUAGAAUAAACCAUAUAUAAAUACUUACAAACACUCAUAAGUGAAUUUCUAGAUUACUUCACUCAUGGCUCAUCACCACCCAAAGUCCAUCACAUGGUCACAGUUGUCUGCUAGUGUUUUAAUUUUAAUAAUUCAUGUGUUUUAUUUAGCGUGUAGGAAGAGGGAGGACCAAGAAAGAUCCUACCAUAACACUGGGAAGGAGGGGGGGCGAAACAAGGUGCUGGUCUGGGCCAGGACAAAAAGAAUUUGGCAAUAUAUUGAUUUAUGUCUUUAUUGAAUGAAAGAUUUUCCAAGUAGGUAAAGGGAGCUCAAAUUUUGUGAGUGAAUAGAUGCUUUGAAUGACUUCAUUGAUUACUAAAGUUUCUAAAUUUUUUUGUAACUUAAUGCUUUGAAUGACUUCAUUGAUCAUAUCCAAAGUCCAAACAUCAAUUAUAUCGUACAAUCUAUCAGCUCCCAUCCUCCUUUGAAAUGUCCCUUCAUCAAUCUUCAAAAAUAUCAUUCAAUAAAAACUGAAACCAGACUUGUGGGUUUCCUAAAUGCCUGUACUCUCCUUUGAUGAGAUGCCCCCACCAGUUAGUACACAUCCCCGCCGCAUAGCUUCCCAAUAAGUGAAAGGAAAAUAUAUAGUCAUUUUGGCUUUAUCCUAGUACACCAUAUCAUCUCCCACAGGCUAAAAACUAUUUCUUAUACAUAUAAUGAGUUUCUUCAAAACAACAAAAAUUACAAAAGAGUACAAUAUGGCUGCCUUAGUAUCUAUAAAGAAGGUCAGCAUAAUCUAAAAAAAAAUUCACCCCAUCAGGCCUACUGUCAUACCCAUUUCCUUAGAGUAAAGCAUGCAAGUCUAAGUGACAUGCGUGGUUCCCCUAAGUGAUUAAACAAAGGACCCCAAGUCCUGAGUGGAUUUGUGCUACUGUGGCAGUGUUAACUCUAUCUCCUUGCAAGCCAGUUCUUUAGAUUGACAAACUUUUGUGAGGGAGGUGAAGCCCCUUCAAUCUUGACUGAGCGAGAGAUGUAGAUGGUGCGGCAUUGGUGCAAGAUGCAUGCACCUUUUGGCUAGAGGCUAAAGACCCUCGGUGCAAAACCUUGGGCAAGAUGAUAUGGACGAAUGGCUAAAGGCUAACUCAGGCAGUGGCUCGGUUGGCUCGACCAUGGACAACUUGACCCUGAUAGGACAUGGGUGUGGACCAUGUGCAAGAGGUGCGUUGACCAUACACCUUGUUGGGCAGCUUGAUUGUAACAGCCAUGAGCCAUGCGAAAGAGGGAGUGCACAUGAAGAGGGCAAGUGGACCUUAAUAGUUGUUAUAGCUUACAAUGCCGGUCUAAAUUGGCUUGAAUGGUUAUUUAUAACUUGUGGAGUGGAUUGACAAGGACUUGUAACUCCCGUCAUAAGCGAUGUGGGCAAGCAUUAGUGUAGGGAGUUGGAUAGAUAAUUGUCACACAAUGGGCGGUGGGCAUUGAAUGUCGUAUAGUCCUUAAUGGCCAUUGUAAUAGUGGGUGAUUGUGUGUAGGCUAUAAAAACAUAUUUUCCAGACCCAUGAUCAGAGAAGAUCUGUGGCUAUAUAUAGUGCAAGUGUAUAGCGAAAUAAGACUGGGCUGCAGCUCUUGUCGAUUGCUUGUUCGUGUGACCGUUGUGCUUGUUUGCUAUUUCCUCUUGUGUGGCUUGGGGAAGGUUGUCCUUUACUUAGUCAAGGUAGGACUUGGGCUUAACGUUACAUGGGUUAUCUAUUGAGAAACUUGCCUCCAUUUCAGUUAGUAUGAAAGCCAGGUUGGUCAAUGCGUGUGGCCAUGACUGGUGGUGUUACUGAAAUCCGGGGCCAUGUCAACCACCUUAAGGAGAAGUUGGAGCAAAUCACGAUGGACACUGGGUUGGGGAAGAACUUUACCACCUUGGAAUGCCUGGAGCGGUGCUUUGGAGGCCCUAGUGGAGGACCAUUGUAGCGCCUGCGAUACUCGUAUGGGAGGAUUCAUGGAUGAUCUUAAGGCCUUAAAAGAAUCCUUGAAGGCUAGCCUCGUGAGCCUGCAAGAAGAUAUGCCACUUGUCAAAAAGGCCUUGUGUGGCAUCACAAGCAAGCUAGACUCUCAAAGUGUGAGGGCAAUAGAGUCAAGGCUCUUUGGACUCUAAAGUGUUAAAUAACUUCUUAUGGGAUAUGGAACAAUACUUUAAGAAUGCUCAUGCCCGUGAGGAGGAUUAUGCUGGCAUUUGCAUCAUGCACCUCGUCGGAUAUGUAUAGAUCUGGUGGAGGAUGCUAGUCGAGAACACUUCAAGGCCCAAGUUGAGCACUUGGGAAGCCUUAAAAGAAGAGUUGAAACAAUGCGACCUAGGUGGCUUGAGAAGCUUUGAAAAAACUUCAAUAAACAAGGUCGGUGAGAGACCAUUUGAAAAGGUUUGCAUCCCUCUAGCAAUAUGACCAUAUCUGAGAAGGACAAAUUCUUUAACUUUGUUGCUGGGUUGCAAGGUUGUGCCCAGGCCAACUAAAAAGGCAAGAUGUGGAGACUUGUCUACGGCGAUGGCGCUAGCUAGGGGCCUAGGAUAUUAUGAUAUUCGUGGUGUGGUGGAAUCAAACUGCAAGGAGGGCCAUCGGGGGCGAAUGGUGAGAGACUGGUGUACCACAAUGGCACCAGACCUGGGAAUGGGGCGACCAAGGAUAGAGAGGCAACUCGGAAGGCCUUUUCAAGUUGUUUCAUUUGCAAAAGUGACCACCGAGAGGGACUAUCCACAAAAAGUUAGCCACUCGAAACAGUUUGACUAAUAGGGGAGGAUGAGGAGGCCUCAACGCAAGCCUGCUCACUACGCUUGUUGAAUGCCAUGCAACUGGUUGAGUGCAACAGCCUGGAGAGGAGUACAUGCCAAGUGUCACUGAAGCGACUGACUCUGGGAAGUCAAUUGAUGACUCAAACAGUCAUAAUAUGCAUAUUAUUGGUGGUGAAGGAGGGCCAAUGGUAAGAGUCAUUUAGCUCCAAGAUGGCUCAGACAUCUUCUACCAGUGGAGAUGCACUACAAUGGGUCAUCCCCUUAGCCCUUGUGGGGUGAACUAGUCAAGAAGAGGUGAUUUGGCAACCUACAUGAUUAUCGUAUGUAUUACUUGACCUUUGCCAAGGCUAAUGCGAGGCCUUCCUCUUG
This 6715-nucleotide long non-coding RNA is filed under the name Amborella trichopoda. Its description in RNAcentral is "long non-coding RNA (ATRI_LNC003847)". Lineage: Eukaryota; Viridiplantae; Streptophyta; Magnoliopsida; Amborellales; Amborellaceae. The record is from RNAcentral.